AAUGAACGUUGGCGGCGUGGAUUAGGCAUGCAAGUCGAGCGAGAACCCCGCAAGGGGGGACAGCGGCGAAAGGGACAGUAAUGUGUAGAUUAUCUGCCCUCAGGUCCGGGAUAGCUGCGGGAAACUGCAGGUAAUACCGGAUAACAUCUCCGGAUCAAAGGUGUGAUUCCGCCUGAGGAUGAGUCUGCAUCCUAUUAGCUAGUUGGUGGGGUAAUGGCCUACCAAGGCAUUGAUGGGUAGCAGGUGUGAGAGCACGACCUACGUCAUUGGGACUGAGACACUGCCCAGACACCUACGGGUGGCUGCAGUCGAGAAUCUUCGGCAAUGGGCGCAAGCCUGACCGAGCGACGCCGCGUGUGGGAUGAAGGCCUUCGGGUUGUAAACCACUGUCAGAGGGGAUGAAAUGCAGGUGGGUUCUCCCAUCUGUUUGACAUAGCCUCAGAGGAAGGACGGGCUAAGUUCGUG
This 465-nucleotide ribosomal RNA is filed under the name uncultured bacterium. RNAcentral's name for it is "partial 16S ribosomal RNA". It matches the Rfam family "Bacterial small subunit ribosomal RNA", at positions 29 to 507 of the family's 1533-position model. The record is from RNAcentral.